Molecule: ribosomal RNA, 570 nt
Filed under: uncultured fungus
Lineage: Eukaryota; Fungi
Description: eukaryotic LSU rRNA
Rfam family: 5.8S ribosomal RNA (bases 208-361)
Source: RNAcentral
CGUAACAAGGUCUCCGUAGGUGAACCUGCGGAGGGAUCAUUACACAAAUAUGAAGGCGGGCUGGAACCUCUCGGGGUUACAGCCUUGCUGAAUUAUUCACCCUUGUCUUUUGCGUACUUCUUGUUUCCUUGGUGGGUUCGCCCACCACUAGGACAAACAUAAACCUUUUGUAAUUGCAAUCAGCGUCAGUAACAAAUUAAUAAUUACAACUCUCAACAACGGAUCUCUUGGUUCUGGCAUCGAUGAAGAACGCAGCGAAAUGCGAUAAGUAGUGUGAAUUGCAGAAUUCAGUGAAUCAUCGAAUCUUUGAACGCACAUUGCGCCCUUUGGUAUUCCAAAGGGCAUGCCUGUUCGAGCGUCAUUUGUACCCUCAAGCUUUGCUUGGUGUUGGGCGUCUUGUCUCUAGCUUUGCUGGAGACUCGCCUUAAAGUAAUUGGCAGCCGGCCUACUGGUUUCGGAGCGCAGCACAAGUCGCACUCUCUAUCAGCAAAGGUCUAGCAUCCAUUAAGCCUUUUUUUCAACUUUUGACCUCGGAUCAGGUAGGGAUACCCGCUGAACUUAAGCAUAUCA